Molecule: unclassified non-coding RNA, 424 nt
Filed under: Hevea brasiliensis (rubber tree)
Lineage: Eukaryota; Viridiplantae; Streptophyta; Magnoliopsida; Malpighiales; Euphorbiaceae
Source: RNAcentral
CUAUCUAUAGCCCUUAAGCUAAUGAGAAAAUAAACCUCCUACUAAACAGGAAAAUACAAUAUUUUCAAAAUAAAAUAAACUUCUCAGAGAAUAAAGAUCCUAUAUAGAUAUUUUAUGCUUCCUAUUUAGGAAAUCCGAAAUAGAAAAUUAUGCAAAAAAUGCUGAAUAAAAACAUUGACUCAAAGGCAGAAUAAUUAAACCUUGAUGCCCUGGAAUUUGUCACAAAUAAGUAUAGGCCUAUUAGUGUUGCUUGAAAUAUUCCUACAUAGGGGUGUAAAUGAGCUAAGUUGUGCCCAAUAUUUUGGUUUUCAACUCUGGCUCCUUUAAUUUUAAGUGAACUCUUAACCUGAUUAUUUCAAGUUUGUUUAAUUAAAAAUUAUCAAGUUUGAUUUCACAUUCACUACUCUAAGCAAGUCUACUUGAG